ACAGUGGUUACUAUACCUGCACUUCAUACUAUACAUACAACUCAAACCUCCAUGAUGGACAGGUGUUUACCUUGUCCAAAACCAUGGAGCGGACAAUUAAACAAGGAAGUUCCCAUUUAAAGCCAAAGAUCAUUAGCCCUCAGGAUGGGGAGUUUAUUGAAGUACAUAUGGGAUCCACUGUGGUGGUGGUCUGCAGGGCUGUCCUG
This is a long non-coding RNA of Coregonus clupeaformis (lake whitefish), 206 nucleotides long. RefSeq lists it as uncharacterized. The record is from RefSeq and is a predicted model, not a curated record. The transcript has 3 exons. NCBI's taxonomy places the organism in Eukaryota, Metazoa, Chordata, Actinopteri, Salmoniformes, Salmonidae.